CCCUUAGAUGUUCUGGGCUGCACGCGCGCUACACUGAUGCGCUCAACGAGUUUACGAACUUGCCCGGAAGGGUUGGUUAAUCUUUUUAAAACGCAUCGUGAUGGGGAUAGAUUAUUGCAAUUAUUAAUCUUCAACGAGGAAUUCCUAGUAAGCGCGAGUCAUCAGCUCGCACUGAUUACGUCCCUGCCCUUUGUACACACCGCCCGUCGCUCCUACCGAUUGGGUGUGCUGGUGAAAUGUUCGGAUCGGCCGUUUGUCGCGGUUUCCGCGUCAUGUGGCUGAGAAGUUCAUUAAACCCUCCCACCUAGAGGAAGGAGAAGUCGUAACA
RNAcentral lists this ribosomal RNA (328 nucleotides) under uncultured eukaryote. RNAcentral's name for it is "partial 18S ribosomal RNA". It matches the Rfam family "Eukaryotic small subunit ribosomal RNA", at positions 1470 to 1796 of the family's 1831-position model. The record is from RNAcentral.